Molecule: long non-coding RNA, 354 nt
Organism: Saccostrea echinata
Lineage: Eukaryota; Metazoa; Mollusca; Bivalvia; Ostreida; Ostreidae
Exons: 3
Source: RefSeq, a predicted model, not a curated record
CAAUACCAACCAAAGAAAAAAAAAACGGCGACAAGAUUAUGAGGAUAUUGGAAUUUCCACAUGAUGUUUGUAAACAAAAUUAUGACGAAGACCUGCUCUAUUUUUAAAAUGAAGGUAUAGUAGCUGACAUAUAGUGUACAUGUACCACUUGAAGAUUUGUCCCCCUUGUAGAUACAAGAAAUGCAAAGUGUACACAGAUACAUACACAUAAAAGGAGACAUCACCUCAUGAUCUGUGGAUCCAUUGAAAACUUUAAGGACAAAACUUUUGAUAAUUCAUUCAUGUAUAGAGUGUUGACUCGAAUAUUGAAUAUCUAAUGAAUGGAACCAAGAGAAUUAAUCUAAGAAGUAUUAU